RNAcentral lists this transfer RNA (75 nucleotides) under Thermoplasmata archaeon. RNAcentral's name for it is "tRNA-Asp". It matches the Rfam family "tRNA". From Rfam's summary of the family: Transfer RNA (tRNA) molecules are approximately 80 nucleotides in length. Their secondary structure includes four short double-helical elements and three loops (D, anti-codon, and T loops). Lineage: Archaea; Methanobacteriati; Thermoplasmatota; Thermoplasmata. The record is from RNAcentral.
GGUCAGGUGGUGUAAAACAGGUUAGCAUACUGGACUGUCACUCCUUUGAUAGGGGUUCAAAUCCCCUCCUGACCG